Non-coding RNA from Chrysemys picta bellii (western painted turtle), 1458 nucleotides. The record is from RefSeq and is a predicted model, not a curated record. Lineage: Eukaryota; Metazoa; Chordata; Testudines; Emydidae.
UGAGACACAGUUCUGCCAGAACCAGCAUAUCCAGCCAAGCUUCCCGAUUUCUUGUCUUCUUUUUCUCUCUCUCCCCUUCUCUCUCUUGUUCUCGCUCUCAUUCACUUACUCUCCCAUUUUUUUGCCACCGUGCCAGAUAGAUUUAAAUGUAUCUGUUCAAGUGGAGAUAAUCCAUGCAAAUCAGAGGCACUGGCUCCCAGUGCUUGAUUCACAAAGAGAACUCAGCUUCAGGAGGUCACUCGUUCACAGCUGCUCCUCCCAUAAUAUUUUUCCCUCAUUGCAGAACUGCUGCAUGUAUACAGUGACUGAAAGGACUCAAUUUACUGCAACUGCAGCCCGGUUUUACUGACAACUUUCUUUAAAGGGGGACUUACCGUCCAUCUGUCUUGUAAAGGGAAUGAAUUUUAUGUAUUUGAAGUGAAAAAACAAUGGAAUAUGGAAGCAUAGUUUGCCAAAGCUUGCAAGAGAUACACACUCCAAAAUGCUGAGUACAGCAUUCAUGUUUACCCAGUGGUGACCCAGUGUCAGGAUGUUGCUAAGAAACCUCAUGCGAAGACCUCCCCAACUGUUCCACCAGAACAGAUUAUUCCUGUCAGGAGAAUGACUAAUCUAUACAGCACAUUUUAUGUGCAUAAAAUGAGGGAAAGCCAGAGCCAAUUUUUAUUUCCUAUGAACAUACGGGGGAGAGGAACUGCCUCAGAAAACACAUGGAAGAAAAACACAUUAAGUAAAACAAAGCAUCAUUGAGAUGUAUAUUAAUUCACAUUCAGAAUAUCUAAUCUUACAGGAAGAAUUAGACCAAGUGUCAUAUUGGAAUUACAUAUUUUUGACCCUUCCCUCUCCCCCCAUUAUCAUUUAGCCUUUUGGUAUCAUGGCAUUGGUGACUGGACAGCAGCUUGUUCUAAUUUCCAGAGUGUGUGGAAUGGCCUUGAUAGUUUCUUUGUGACGGGGUGAUGUCAUUGGUUAGCCAGCUUCCGCUGCACCCCAUACACUACCAAGAAGUUCCUCUCUGUAUUAGUUAUACCUUCACCUGCCAAGAAAAGAAAACACAUAGCUUCCUUUCGUCUUCAGUGAAACAAAGUGGUUUAGACACAGUUUGGAGGAGGACUGCCAGAAACAACAAAAAAGGCUUUAACUUAAUAACGUUUCCAUAUAGUUAGGUGCUCCUCUAGAAUAUAUGACUUUAAUUGAUUUUUACCUUUUUUUAUGGAACACAACUGGUGUACUGGAAAUUGUUCUUUGGCAUAUUACCAGAAUUUAAAAAGAAAAGAUAUGAAGUUUAUGAAAGCUGGAGCUAUUAAAUCAAUAUUUUCCAGUUAUUUUUGAGCCCUUCUGCAAAUAACCCAAUGAUCACUAUUAAAGAAAAAUAAACUUAAUUUCAUCUGAGGUAAAGCCUUUGUCUAUUUUAUCUGUGACAGAGAUCCUAAUAGUAAAACCAUUCAAUAAAACCCUAUUGGA